GACGGAGGAUGCAAGCGUUAUCCGGAAUGAUUGGGCGUAAAGCGUCCGCAGGUGGCCGUUCAAGUCUGCUGUCAAAGACCGGGGCUUAACUUCGGAAAGGCAGUGGAAACUGAACAGCUAGAGUAUGGUAGGGGCAGAGGGAAUUCCUGGUGUAGCGGUGAAAUGCGUAGAGAUCAGGAAGAACAUCGGUGGCGAAGGCGGCUCUCUGGAACGCAACUGACGCUGAGACGCGAAAGCGUGGGGAGCAAACAGG
RNAcentral lists this ribosomal RNA (253 nucleotides) under uncultured bacterium. RNAcentral describes it as "partial 16S ribosomal RNA". It matches the Rfam family "Bacterial small subunit ribosomal RNA", at positions 524 to 776 of the family's 1533-position model. The record is from RNAcentral.